AUGAAAGGUCUUGCAAAUAAACGUAAUCACUUUUUGGCGUCUCCGCACAGGCAACACACCGAUGCCUCUGAUCUGGCGACCUUAAGCCUCGAAGCGCAGUCCCGCCUCUGCAGGCGGCCACCGCGCGGGGCUGGGUGGUCCCCCGGGGACCGCGAGCGGUUCCAAGACAAGACACCAGGCCAGUUGCGCGACGCAAGCCGGCCGCGGGGCAGGCAUUUCGGAGCACCGGGAAGCUCGGAGGCAGCGGCGGUGACCUCCAGACCGUCCUCCUGCGUCCUCAUUAAAGGAGGCAAAAUGGUGGCCGCGAACGCCAUCAGGCUGCGCCAGGGCGGGGUUUCGGCGCCAACACAGAGGAUCCCGCCAGAUUCUGGCGGCCAGAACUCCUCCUCACCCAGGCCACCCCCCGGGGCCCACAGCCUGGGCAGCUACGGGCGCGCCGCUCCACCCGGCCCCCAACCUUGUCCCUGCAGACCCGAGGCCGGAGCCCGACUAGUCCCGGGCCUAGCAGUGUGACUUCAUCACACGGUCCCCAGCCCCUCCUUUCCCUUAUUUCUCAUCCAUUUGGGGACAGCACGCGCGCACACACACCCUCGCCCCUCCUGUCCUGUUUGUGCGACGUGGCGUUGCUCGAUUUUUGUUGUGAACUGCAGAUUUUGAAAAGCGCCGGAGAGCUAGGUGAAGAGCUGGGCUCCCGAGGGGGUGACAGAACCAGCCCGCGGCCUGGCCUCCUCCUCCCGCUUCCCAUCGGCCCGGCUGCUGCAGAACGGCCGCGCCUGCCCUCCCGGUUUCUCCCGUCCAGUCCUCACCGUCCUUUCCCAGAGAAAGCGGCAGCACAGCCUAUGACAACUAAGCUGAAACGGAAAAACUGGGCCGGGCGCAAGAGGAAACCAGAGCCAUUCGACUAUUAUUACUAGAGGAGAGGAAUAGCUGUAGAAAAACAUGCGCAAAAUAGGCACAAACAUUGCGUCGUCAAGGCUGCAAUGUCUCAUACAAAAUAGAAGGUUCUCAUAGCAACAAAAACGUGCCCAUGUUGUGCUCAGUGUUAACAUGCGUUAAAAUGUUCUUAGUUGUGAAAUUUGACAUGACCGCUGGUUAAAGUUACAAUGGAAGUUUUAAAUCCUGCUUUCCGGAAACUUUGCAGCCAUAGCAUGAGGUUAAAUUUUUCUUAUUUUCAGGACAAGUUUACUCUACUGGAAUAUAGUAAAGCUCUUUUUAUAAAGAGCUUUGAAUAAAAUACCUAACGAUGUGGUUCAAACGAACACAUUUUCAAAACUAAUCUUAAAUGGUAUUUCAGUGCAUAUGUUAAAGCAAUUUAUAAACUAAAUUUUAAGAGCCUUCAAAAUACAAAGUACUCGUAUUUAAUGACUUCACAGUUUUAAUGCUUUUUUCUGUUUCUAUAAUCUCUCAGGAAAUCCUGACUAUAUUUUUAUUAAAAUAACUUUUUCUGUAGAAGAUACCCAUUUGGUGCUGUGAUCAGCAUUCUGCCUGAAAUUGAAUAUAAACAACUGAAUCAUUACAAAAUGGCUCAUGUUAGAAGAUACUUAAAACGAAUACAAUCUUGUACAGUAAAUUUUUAA
RNA transcript from Mandrillus leucophaeus (drill), 1577 nucleotides. RefSeq lists it as uncharacterized. Lineage: Eukaryota; Metazoa; Chordata; Mammalia; Primates; Cercopithecidae. The transcript has 3 exons. The record is from RefSeq and is a predicted model, not a curated record.